UACGUAGGGUGCGAGCGUUAAUCGGAAUUACUGGGCGUAAAGCGUGCGCAGGCGGUUCGACAAGUCCGAUGUGAAAGGCCCGGGCUCAACCUGGGAAGGGCAUUGGAAACUGGCGAGCUUGAGUGUGGCAGAGGGGGGUGGAAUUCCGCGUGUAGCAGUGAAAUGCGUAGAGAUGCGGAGGAACACCGAUGGCGAAGGCAGCCCCCUGGGCUGACACUGACGCUCAGGCACGAAAGCGUGGGGAGCAAACAGG
Molecule: ribosomal RNA, 253 nt
Filed under: uncultured bacterium
Lineage: Bacteria
Description: partial 16S ribosomal RNA
Rfam family: Bacterial small subunit ribosomal RNA
Source: RNAcentral